GUGGGGAAUAUUGGACAAUGGGCGCAAGCCUGAUCCAGCCAUGCCGCGUGAGUGAUGAAGGCCUUAGGGUUGUAAAGCUCUUUCAGCUGGGAAGAUAAUGACGGUACCAGCAGAAGAAGCCCCGGCUAACUUCGUGCCAGCAGCCGCGGUAAUACGAAGGGGGCUAGCGUUGUUCGGAAUCACUGGGCGUAAAGCGCACGUAGGCGGAUCGAUAAGUCAGGGGUGAAAUCCCGAGGCUCAACCUCGGAACUGCCUUUGAUACUGUCGACCUUGAGUCCGGGAGAGGUGAGUGGAACUCCGAGUGUAGAGGUGAAAUUCGUAGAUAUUCGGAAGAACACCAGUGGCGAAGGCGGCUCACUGGCCCGGUACUGACGCUGAGGUGCGAAAGCGUGGGGAGCAAACAGGAUUAGAUACCCCGGUAGUCC
This 425-nucleotide ribosomal RNA is filed under the name uncultured bacterium. RNAcentral describes it as "partial 16S ribosomal RNA". It matches the Rfam family "Bacterial small subunit ribosomal RNA", at positions 354 to 796 of the family's 1533-position model. The record is from RNAcentral.